UUUUUAUUUUUAUAUUUUUAAUCUUGAUUUUAUUUUUUAUGUUAUUUAAAUAACAUAAAAAAUAAAAUAUAUAUUGACAUGGAUUAAACAAAGAUAUAUAUUAUUUUAUGUUGUAUAAACAAAUUGGCAAAAUAGAGAUGGAAGAUAAAAAU
Molecule: unclassified non-coding RNA, 152 nt
Filed under: Borreliella burgdorferi (Lyme disease spirochete)
Lineage: Bacteria; Pseudomonadati; Spirochaetota; Spirochaetia; Spirochaetales; Borreliaceae
Description: partial 5S-23S ribosomal RNA intergenic spacer region
Source: RNAcentral